Long non-coding RNA from Anguilla anguilla (European eel), 1545 nucleotides. RefSeq lists it as uncharacterized. The record is from RefSeq and is a predicted model, not a curated record. The transcript has 3 exons. Lineage: Eukaryota; Metazoa; Chordata; Actinopteri; Anguilliformes; Anguillidae.
GCUGUAUAGGUAUGGGGCAUGCCCCCGCCAAGGCGUAACUUGGCGGGAUGGCAUACCUGCCAUCCCAAUAAAAGCCACUCAGAAUUCUCCUCCCAGCACAGGAGCAUCACCUGUAAGACAGAGAGGGAGAUCUGUGUGUGACAAUGGGAGCUAUUGUAGCAUUAGCUGUGUUGCUGGGAGCUUUAUCAUACGUUCACUGUGUUGAACUCAUACAGCCAGGCUCAAUGGUUAUAAAACCAGGAGAGACUUUAUCUGUGUCCCGUAAAGUCUCAUAUUCAGUUAGCAGUGAUCACACAGCCUGGAUCCGACAGCCUGCAGGGAAAGCACUGGAGUGGAUUGGAGUUAUAUAUUCUUUUGAUAGCACUGCUUACAAACAUUCACUAAAGAACAAGUUCACCAUCUCCAGAGACACCUCCAGUAACACAGUGUUUUUACGUGGGAGCAGCCCGCAGACUGGAGACACAGCUGUGUAUUACUGUGCCCGAUACACAGAGUGCAGUAAAGCCACAGCAGACCUGUACAAAAACCCACCCGGAUGAGUGUAGUGGCAGAACACAAACAUUUAAGAGCUCUGUGAAGUUUGCACCCCACAUGAUCAGAAUGUGAAUUAAAAUAUUUUCAUCCAUUUGUGCUGCAGUGUGCCGAUAAAAUGUAAAUCCCAUAAUGGUUUAGGACCUGUGUUUGUAACUCAAAAGGUGUAGUUUAAAUUCCCAGCUGGAGAGUAUGCAUUGUAGCCUUGAAAAUGCUUUUCCUAGAUCUUUUGACUAAAACUCCAGCUGCAUCAAAGGACUGUAUGUAAAUUUAAAAUUCUCAUUUACUGUUUCUAUUAUGAAACCGUGAAUGAAUAAGUCAUAAAACCAUUUUGAACAUCCAAAAGGUGAUCUUUUUUUGCUUUAGGAAAACCUUAUUUUAUUACACACAAAAUACAAAACUUUAGAGACAUGUAGUCUGUUAUUGCCACUGAUGUAAAUAAAAUCUGCUCCUCAGUACAAUUUAUGUACAUACAAAUGAGCAGAUCAGCACUGUACUUAAAUAAAAGGUCCAGAUACAAACCUUCCUGUUCAUGGUAUAUCUAAAGAAUACCUGUAGACAAGAAUAUACUGGGAUCACAGGAUAUUAGUCCCCAGAGAAACACAAAGAUGCACAAAAUGCUCCUCAUUAUUGAUUCAGUCCCCAGCGAAUUUUCUAUAAAAUUCAUUUACAACGUGAACUUCACCUUGAAGACAAAGAGGGAGCAUCUCACACCACAGACCUACCAAAAAACCAGCUCCGCCCCCUUUUCUGUUUAAAUAUGACCACAGCCUCUAAGCCCUGGAGAGGUGAGAACAGCAGCUCACUGCAGCUCAUCUGCAACACAAACCAUGUUCCCUGCAUCUCUGCAGAAGGUCCUGGCAGCUGCAUCCUCGUGUGAUCUGCCCACCCAGUGAGGAGGAGUCCAUGCGAACUCUGAGCUAUUCCUUCUACAUUUACCUCUCUGCACCGAGGGAGGAGGGGCUGUUGUUGGAGACUGAAUGAAGGACCAUCAUCACAUACUGCAGUGAAAGA